This 459-nucleotide ribosomal RNA is filed under the name uncultured bacterium. Its description in RNAcentral is "bacterial SSU rRNA". It matches the Rfam family "Bacterial small subunit ribosomal RNA", at positions 355 to 804 of the family's 1533-position model. The record is from RNAcentral.
UCGAGGAUCUUCCGCAAUGCGCGCAAGCGUGACGGAGCGACGCCGCGUGGGUGAUGAAGGCCUUCGGGUCGUAAAACCCUGUUAGCUACAGUGAAUUGCGGGUGGUGAAUAGCCAUCCCGCUUGACGUAAGUAGCAAAGAAAGCACCGGCUAACUACGUGCCAGCAGCCGCGGUAAUACGUAGGGUGCAAACGUUGUUCGGAAUCACUGGGCAUAAAGAGCGCGUAGGCGGUCUGAUAAGCCUUGUGUGAAAGCCCCCGGCUCAACCGGGGAAUUGCACUGGAUACUGUCGGGCUAGAGUACAGGAGGGGAGAGUGGAAUUCCUGGUGGAGCGGUGAAAUGCGUAGAUAUCAGGAGGAACGCCAGUGGCGAAAGCGACUCUCUGGUCUGUUACUGACGCUGAGGUGCGAAAGCUAGGGGAGCAAACGGGAUUAGAUACCCUUGUAGUCCCUGAGCGGGC